Molecule: ribosomal RNA, 497 nt
Filed under: uncultured bacterium
Lineage: Bacteria
Description: partial 16S ribosomal RNA
Rfam family: Bacterial small subunit ribosomal RNA
Source: RNAcentral
GAUGAACGCUGGCGGCGUGCCUAAUACAUGCAAGUCGAGCGAACAGACGAGGAGCUUGCUCCUCUGACGUUAGCGGCGGACGGGUGAGUAACACGUGGAUAACCUACCUAUAAGACUGGGAUAACUUCGGGAAACCGGAGCUAAUACCGGAUAAUAUAUUGAACCGCAUGGUUCAAUAGUGAAAGACGGUUUUGCUGUCACUUAUAGAUGGAUCCGCGCCGCAUUAGCUAGUUGGUAAGGUAACGGCUUACCAAGGCAACGAUGCGUAGCCGACCUGAGAGGGUGAUCGGCCACACUGGAACUGAGACACGGUCCAGACUCUUACGGGAGGCAGCAGCAGGGAAUCUUCCGCAAUGGGCGAAAGCCUGACGGAGCAACGCCGCGUGAGUGAUGAAGGUCUUCGGAUCGUAAAACUCUGUUAUUAGGGAAGAACAAAUGUGUAAGUAACUAUGCACGUCUUGACGGUACCUAAUCAGAAAGCCACGGCUAACUACGUG